AUGAAUGGCCACCUGUGGCCUUCGACCCUUCAAAACCGUGGAGGCAGAGUGUGUUUCGGCGCUCCGGCGCCGCCUUUAUGCUGUAGAGUCUGUGUCUGAAUCCAAAACAUAGUCUA
RNAcentral lists this unclassified non-coding RNA (116 nucleotides) under uncultured Archaeorhizomyces. Its description in RNAcentral is "sequence contains ITS1". Lineage: Eukaryota; Fungi; Ascomycota; Archaeorhizomycetes; Archaeorhizomycetales; Archaeorhizomycetaceae. The record is from RNAcentral.